This 7929-nucleotide long non-coding RNA is filed under the name Lactuca sativa (garden lettuce). RNAcentral's name for it is "long non-coding RNA (LSAT_LNC006656)". Lineage: Eukaryota; Viridiplantae; Streptophyta; Magnoliopsida; Asterales; Asteraceae. The record is from RNAcentral.
UCACUUAAACAUGAAUGUACAAACAAUAUUUUGUUAAUGAUAGUUACACUUGGGAAAUUACACACUUUUACAACAAAUGAACAUACAAAACAGUUAAGCCUUGGUAGAAGGCUACUUUAAUAGAAAAUAUAGGUUUUUCUGAGAGAGUCAAACUUUUAUAAACACUUACAAACCUUUACAUACAUUUUACAAACUUACACUUGAGACAGUGUUCAAACGUUUUGAUAACAAACACCGACACUAAAAUACUUAUGAACUCACCACCUUAAUGCUGAUAAACUCUUUCAAAAUAACUUGUAUUCUCAGGUCGACAGUAGACAGGUACCGAGGCCAGCUUGUGAGAAGAUGGAGCGCAUCCAAGACUCAUCUUAUUAUUUUGAUUCACAUUAUUUUUGGUGUCUAUAACUGUAAAGAACACACUUGUGUUAAAAUUAUAUAUUUAUUGCAAUGGAUGAUGUUGUAUGCUUGUUUACUUUUACUGUGUUGUGAUACUUUACAUGACGUCCUCCGCCCCAGAACGUUUCCGCCGUUCUUGGUUUUGGGGUGUGACAGAUUGGUAUCAGAGCAUUGUUUAUAGUGAAUUGAGUAUAUCAACCCAUAAAAGAUAUACUAACUAUAAACCCAUUUGGGAUUAAAGCACUCUGACCAAGAGUCUAUACUUUAAAUAUUAAAAUAUUUAAUUAAGUAUACUAGUCUGCAUUCAUACUAAAAUCAGUGUCACAAUGACAAGAACAAAAGUAUUACGAUUGUUAAAUAUCACAAGUGAGCUCGGGGAUGUAUGGUCAGUUCUGGGAAUGGCAUACCCUGAUCAACUAUGCUGGUCCGAGGAGUGAUUAGCAUAUGCCCUAGAAUAGUUGUGAUAUGUUAACAAGACUAAAAACUUACCAACAAUACCACAAGAAGAUCAGUAGAACCUAAACUUAAAAUACUAUGGGUGUAUUUUGUACUACUACUAGCUACAUAUAUACUAUAUUCUUAUACCUCUCUUCUCGCGUAGAUUUAAAUGGCUGGAUUCCAUCAUGGCGACCCAUACUUCCCCAACCACGGCAAUGCAGGAUGGCUGGAAGAGGAACCGGAAGAUGAUCACCCGAUUCCUUUGGAUGAUCAUGAAGCUGAAGGCUUUUCUGAUGGUUCUGACUCGGAACCCGAUGUCAACAAUCUACCUCCCGUAGGUCAAGCCCCAAACAACAAUCUUCGACCAGCUUUUCCAGGUCCCACUCCCUUGUGGGUAAACAACUUGAAUCGCUGAAGUGACGAACAGGGUCAACCCUUACCUUACUUUGGGGACCGAAGCUUUUACAAUGUUAGCGAAGGUGGUUCUGCGGAUAGAGGUAUGCCCGUCAUGGUCCGUAGAAUUGCUCGAAACGUCGAACAAGGUCGAGCAGCCAUCGACCGAUUCAUGGAAAUUGAUGCCAAAUCAGGCGUUAACACCGUCUGCAUUCGACAUCUGGAAGAAGCACUCGAAGGGACGAGGAGAGUGAAUCAAUCCUUCGAAAUCUGUUCAUGCCCUGCUGCGAGCAAAGUCAAAUAUGCCGCAUGCACCUUUGAAGGAAAGGGCCUGACGUGGUGGAACGGCCACGUUAAAGCGCUGACUCUCGUAGUGGCGAAUGAUAUGGGCUGGGAAACCAUGAAGGACCUCAUGAUUGAGGAGUACUGCCCGAGGGUCGAAAUCCAAAAAUUGGAGCAGGAGCUUUGGAGCCUCACCAUGAAGGGCACCAACGUAGUCUCCUAUACCGCCAGAUUCAGCGAACUGGUGGCCCUCUGCCCCAAUAUGGUUCCCACUGAAGGGAAAAAGAUCGAAAGGUACAUCUGGGGGCUGGUGCCUCCGUACCAAGGAAAUGUUCUAUCAUCAAACCCCACUACUUUCGACAGUGCCAAGCGACUGGCACAACGACUCAUCGACCAUGGAAUCCAAUCCCCAACAGCGACAACAACCCAAGCCGUCUCAGAACCCUUCAAACCCAUUGACUUUAAGCGAAAGUUCUGGGAUCACAAGAAGAAGCAGCGAGCUGCCAAAAAGCAUCAUAUUGUGGCUGUACAUGCUGCAAUAACCCCUACUACUACUACUGCUCCGGUGAGGCAGUAUGCUGGAAGUUUGCCUAAGUGCAACAAAUGCAACUUCCACCACAACGGCCCCUGUCGUGAAAUGCAGUGCUCUAACUACAAUAGAAAAGGACACACCGUUCAUUUCUGUAAAUCCCCAGCGAGGCCGAUCACCCAAGUCCCCGGCUCAGGCGCGAGCCCGACAUGCUAUGGAUGUGGCGAAGCAGGCCACUAUAAGAGAGACUGCCCCAAAGCGAAGAAUGCUGGAGGAGCAAGGAGGGUACUAGCAAUAGGCCAUGGGGAAGCAGUUGCUGACCCGACAGUGGUGACUGGUACAUUCCUCCUAGAUAACUCCUAUGCAUGCAUUUUAUUCGAUAGUGGAGCGGAGCGAAGCUUCGUGAACCAUAAAUUUGCUCGCAUGCUUAAGCAACAACCACACACACUUAAGGAACAAUUUACAGUAGAAAUGGCAAAUGGAAAAACUAAAAGUACGAAUAACAUAUACUUAGGUUGUAUCCUAACUCUAGAUAACCAUUCAUUCCCAAUCGACCUUAUGCCGGUCUCAAUAAAAAGCUUCGACGUUAUCAUUGGUAUGGAUUGGUUAAGUCUUCAUCGCGUCAACAUCAUGUGCUACGAAAAAGCAGUCCGUCUAAACCUUCCGUCUAACGAAACUCUUAUCGUCUAUAGCGACAAACCCGAGCCUCGAAAUGAAAGAACUAAAGAAUACCAUGCAUUCCUUGCCCACGUCGUCGACACGAGCCUCGAAACGAAAGAACUAAAGAACAUUCCAGUAGUGAGCGACUUCCCCGACAUUUUCCCAGAAGAGCUACAAGGAUUACCUCCGCAACGACAAGUCAAAUUCAGAAUCGACUUAGUCCCAGGAGCUACCCCAGUAGCCAAGUCUCCCUACUGAUUAGCACCAGCAGAGAUGCAGGAAUUAUCUGGUCAACUUAACGAACUUCUUAGCAAGGGCUUCAUAAGACCAAGCUUCUCACCUUGGGGAGCACCAGUCUUGUUUGUUAAGUAGAAAGACGGAUCAUUCCGUAUGUGUAUCGACUACAGAGAACUCAACAAACUAACGGUCAAGAAUCGUUACCCUCUGCCACGCAUCGACGAUUUAUUCGACCAACUCCAAGGGGCGAAUUAUUUUUCCAAAAUUGAUCUGAGAUCCGGAUAUCACCAGUUACGAGUGCUAGAGGAGGAUGUUCCGAAGACAGCCUUCCAGACUCGUUACGGACACUACGAGUUCGUGGUGAUGUCAUUCGGAUUGACCAAUGUGUCCGCAGUCUUCAUGGAUUUGAUGAAUGGAGUAUGCCGACCUUACUUGGAUCAGUUCGUAAUUGUUUUCAUAGAUGACAUUCUGAUCUACUCUCGGAGUAAGGAAGAGCAUGGCAAUCACCUACGACAAGUUUUAAGAACUUUACGAACGGAGAAACUCUAUGCAAAGUUCUCGAAGUGUGAAUUUUGGAUCCGAAGAGAAACUCUUACAACACUGACCCAGAAGGGCAUGGCCUUUGACUGGGAAGAGAAACAGGAGAGAGCAUUUCAAACGCUCAAGCGAGCCUUGUGCACCGCACCAAUACUAUCCCUACCCGAACGGAUAGAAGACUUCGUGGUCUAUUGUGAUGCGUCAAACCAAGGGCUCGGUUGUGUCCUGAUGCAACGGGCUAAGGUCAUCGCCUACGCCUCGAGACAGCUGAAGACACAUGAAGUCAACUACACCACACAUGAUCUUGAGUUGGGUGCAGUUGUGUUUGCCCUGAAGAUCUGGAGACAUUACCUGUAUGGCACCAAAAGCACCAUUUUUACUGACCACAAGAGUUUAUAACACAUAUUCGAUCAGAAGGAGCUCAACAUGCGCCAACGACGAUGGGUCGAGCUACUCAAUGACUACGAAUGCGACAUUCGUUAUCAUCCGGGUAAGGCCAACGUAGUAGCGGACGCCCUAAGUCGGAAGGAAUAUUCUGGUCGAAGAAUCAAGUCGUUGACAAUGAUUAUCCAUUCGCACUUGUCUAAGCAAAUUCAGGCGGCCCAACUUGAAGCUAUGAAACCUGAACAUGUGGCGAGUGAAUCCCUCAGAGGAAUGGAUAAGAACUUAGAAGCCAAGGGUGGCGAAGCCCUAUAUUUCAUGGACUGGAUCUGGACCCCGAAACACGGUGGUUUUCGAGACUUGGUCAUGACCGAGGCGCACAACACUCGAUAUUCCGUCCACCCAGGUUCAGAUAAAAUGUAUCUGGAUCUUAAGAAGUUAUACUGGUGGCCUAACAUGAAAGCAGAGAUUGCUACCUUCGUAAGUAAAUGCCUUACUUGCGCAAAGGUUAAGGUCGAGUACCAGAAACCCUCUGGUUUACUACAACAACCAGAGAUCCCAGAAUGGAAGUGGGAGCGGAUCACUAUGGACUUCAUAACCAAGUUGCCCAAGACAACGGGUGGACUUGAUACCAUAUGGGUCAUCGUCGAUAGAUUGACCAAGUCUGCACACUUCCUACCUAUCAAGGAAACCGAUAAGAUGGAGAAACUUACGAGAACAUACAUUAGGGAAAUCGUGCGACUACAUGGUGUUCCUAUAUCCAUUAUCUCCGAUAGAGAUAGUAGGUUCACCUCAAGAUUUUGGCAAUCGUUGCAACAUUCCCUAGGAACAAGGCUAGACAUGAGCACAGCCUACCAUCCUCAGACCGACGGGAAAAGUGAGAGGACCAUUCAAACACUGGAAGACAUGCUGAGAUCCUGUGUGAUUGACUUUGGAAAGGCAUGGGAUACUCAUUUACCUCUUGUCGAAUUUUCCUACAAUGACAGUUAUCACACGAGCAUCAAGGCUGCCCCAUUUGAAGCCCUCUAUGGCCGAAAAUGAAGAUCCCCUCUGUGUUGGGCUGAAGUGGGUGACACCCAGUUAGCUAAGGGGCAACUUUCUGACAGUACUCUCACAGGCCCGGAAAUCAUUCGGGAAACGACAGAGAAGAUUGUUUAGAUCCGUGAACGAUUGAAAGCCUCCAGAGACCGACAGAAAAGCUACGCCGAUAAACGUAGAAAACCAUUGGAAUUCCAGGUGGGCGACCGUGUUUUAUUGAAGGUCUCACCCUGGAAGGGCUUGAUACGCUUCGGAAAGCGUGGAAAGCUAAAUCCAAGGUACAUUGGGCCUUUCGAGAUUCUCGCCAGAAUCGGCCCAGUGGCUUACAAACUCAAUCUACCGAACGAACUUCGUAACGUACAUUCUACCUUCCACGUUUCCAACUUGAAAAAGUGUCUGUCCGACGAGACUCUUGUAAUCCCACUCGACGAGAUCGAUAUCAACGAGAGCCUCAACUUCAUGGAAGAACCUGUAGAGGUCAUGGACCGUGAAGUCAAACAGACGAAACAAAGCCGCAUCCCGAUUGUGAAGGUUCGCUGGAACGCCAAGCGAGGACCAGAAUUUACAUGGGAGUGAGAGGAUCAGAUAAAACUAAAAUAUCCUCAUCUUUUUACUUAGUUUUUUGUAAUAAUCUAGUAACUUAAACUCAAAUUUCGGGACGAAAUUCCCUCUAACGGGGGGAUGAUGUGACAACCCGAAUAACUUCUCGCAUGCACUCUUCAAUUCUUUCCAAUAUUAGACUUAUUUUACUAUAUGGUAGUACCCUUUAGAGCCUAAUGAAGAGUUCUAAAUGUGAUAUAAUCAAGGUAGGAUUGUCAAAAAGGGUUAACUUGAAGUGUAGGAAUCAAAACCGGGCCAAACACUCCAACACAUGGAGUGUGCGGCCACACACUUAAGUGUGCGGCCACACACUUAAGUGUGCGGCCACACACUCAUGUUUGCGGCCUCACACCCUUCCCAACUGCACACUCCACCUAUAUAUACCAUACUUACUCAUUUUUGAACACUUCUUUCACUUCUUCAAGCAUAGAACACGAAAUCCUCUCAAGUAUCAUCCAUCCUAUUUGAAGAUCUUCAUAAAAGGUACCAAGAACACCAAGAACGCCAUGUUUCUGGCAGCACACAUGGCUGCACACAGGGCCGCACACAUGUGCUGGCCGCACACCUGGCCACACACACACAUAUAGUGUAUAUUUUGGACAUACACCCUCUUGUAUAGCCUUAUAAACCCUCAUACAAUCAUAUGUGAUUGUAACACUUCAUUAUAAGUGUUUGCUAGACCCUAAGGUGGUCCCAAUACAUUAAUUAGUCGUUCAUAAUACUAAUUAUAAUCAUAUAUGUAAAAUAUAUACUUAAUAGGAUUCGUGUGUGUACUCAAGUCACCACUUGACACCUAGCAUCUAAUCCAACAUUGUCUUCAGAUUCACUCACUACAAGUGAGUUCAUACCCCUUUAAUUAACCUUUGAAAUACUUUUAAAUGUUUUAAAUGCUUUUAUGGGGGGAUACAAGUUUAUUAUUUAUAGUUAUUACAUCAAUCACAUGUGAUUAAUAACUAUAAAACCAAUAAUUUUAAUACUGUUCACACUGUUUAUCAAACUAUUUUACUUCAAACUGUUUUACAAACUCUUUUACGUAUCAAAUACUUUUACUUAAACUUUGUUACACUUAUUAUAAAUUGCAUGCCCGUAUAUGUAUAGUUAUAUAAGUAAUGUUUAAAAGACUUAGGAAGGCUAUCCACCUUGUUUCCUUUUCCUCGAUUUGGAUGUGGUCUGAUAGGAUAUCGGGUACUCGUCCGAAGGUCGUUUAAAUAUUAAUUAUAUAUCAUGUGUACAUAUAUAGACAUAAAACUGCUUCCAUAUUCAUGCGUACUAGUUACAUCAUUAAUAGGCUACCAUCGGGGUAGUACAAAAUCAUACUUAUACUAUUGCUAGAUCAAUGAGUCAGUUCAUUCAUGAGUCAAUACUUAUUACUAUGAGAACAUAUACAUUACAUUACUAUGAGAACAUAUACAACUAUACUAGAUAGAGAACAUAUACAACUAUACUAGAGAAAGAACAUAUACAACUAUACUAGAGAGAGAACAUAUACAACUAUACUAGAAGGAGAACAUAUACAACUAUACUAGAGAAAGAACACGUACAACUAUACUAGAAGGAGAACAUAUACAACUAUACUAGAGAAAGAACAUAUACAACUAUACUAGAACAGUUCAUUACAUUACAUAUACAAGAAUACGUUAAUUAUUGUGAUAUGAAUCGGAGCAUGACUUAAAUGUCAUGGCCCGAGUUGUAGCCAGAGUCUCUUGAAGGGAGAGCGUGAGUUUGCGUAUAGAUCUAUACUGGAUUGACUAUCCUACACCUUGCUGCUAGCUACAGCCGGACCUGCAGGUCUGCGGGUGCCAAACGUCAUUUCUUUUUACGACCUACAUUUGUCGUUGUUUAUCCAGUCGAUAGUAUGGUACAAUAAAUCACAUGAUACCUUAAUAUAAAUCCGGUUUAAGGUAGUUAGUACAGCAGUAGUUCCUAUAAUACAACACUACAGUACUACAAUAAUUUACCCAUUACAUAUAUUUAGUGAUUAUGUCACUUAAACAUUAAUGUACAAACUAUAUUUUGUUAAUGAUAGUUACACUUGGGAAAUUACACACUUUUACAACAAACGAACAUACAAAACAGUUAAGCCUUGGUAGAAGGCUACUUUAAUAGAAAAUAUAGGUUUUUCUGAGAGAUUCAAACUUUUACAAACACNCAGUUAAGCCUUGGUAGAAGGCUACUUUAAUAGAAAAUAUAGGUUUUUUUGAGAGAUUCAAACUUUUAUAAACACUUACAAACAUUUACAUACAUUUUACAAACUUACACUUGAGACAUUGUUCAAACGUUUUGAUAACAAACACCGACACUAAAAUACUUAUGAACUCACCAGCUUAAUGUUGAUAAACUCUUUCAAAAUAACUUGUAUUCUCAGGUCGACAGUAGAUAGGUAUCGAGGCCUGCUUGUGAGAAGAUGGAGCGCAUCCAAGACUCAUCUUAUUAUUUUG